UAAAUUCACUCUCAAUCCAGGUUUCAUAGCCUAGAGAGACUCAAUCAUUAAAGUUGUCAGAGAUCGAGUUCAAUCCAGGAAUAAACUAGAAAGAAACUGUCAAACAAGACACUACCCAACGAGGACCGAAACCCAAUAGGGGAUUUGUCUAAUCCAUGGACGGAAAGGAAAGCAAAAGAAAAAUCUUCCACAAGGGAUACUUAGUGGGGA
RNAcentral lists this long non-coding RNA (210 nucleotides) under Lathyrus oleraceus (garden pea). Its description in RNAcentral is "Pisum sativum (pea) long non-coding RNA (PSAT_LNC016563)". Lineage: Eukaryota; Viridiplantae; Streptophyta; Magnoliopsida; Fabales; Fabaceae. The record is from RNAcentral.